GGAAGUUACAGAAGAAGAUCAACUUGGGAUUGAUAGCAGGAAAACCUCUUUCUAAAUACAGGCAUCUGCACAUAAAAAGACAGCCCACCUUACAGUUGCUGCAUUCCUGGGAUAAAAUCUGUUUGACUGUGAUACAGACAUUUUAAUAUAGCAUUAGAACAGAUUCAUGACAACUACCCCAAAAUACGGCACCUUUGCCUGUGUGGAAACAACAGAAGCAGGAAGAUUACUCUCAUUUUCCUCUGACCUUUUUCCCUUGAAGCAGACCAUAAAGAAGAAACUGACCUUCCUCUGAAGGAAACCUUCAUUCCAGACAUACCCUCCCUAUAUCCAAAGAAUAUCUUUAUCUUUAAAGACACAGAGAUGCCAAGAAGAAUCUGAACAAACAGGCCUUGCCAGAUCCCCUUGUUUACUAAUAUUGGACCAUACUCUUUUGUUCUUCAAUCAUACUUCUGUAUGAUGUCCAUAAAAAUACACAGUUUUCCCCAUUCCUUUGGGUAUUUAUUCCCGAAAGCUUCUGUGUCAUGUGUCAUGUAAAACUUAUAUUAAAUAAAUUUGUAUGCUUUUGCUUGUG
Long non-coding RNA from Symphalangus syndactylus (siamang), 574 nucleotides. RefSeq lists it as uncharacterized. The record is from RefSeq and is a predicted model, not a curated record. Lineage: Eukaryota; Metazoa; Chordata; Mammalia; Primates; Hylobatidae.